Molecule: ribosomal RNA, 253 nt
Filed under: uncultured bacterium
Lineage: Bacteria
Description: partial 16S ribosomal RNA
Rfam family: Bacterial small subunit ribosomal RNA
Source: RNAcentral
UACGUAGGGUGCAAGCGUUGUCCGGAAUUAUUGGGCGUAAAGAGCUCGUAGGCGGUUUGUCGCGUCUGCUGUGAAAUCCCGAGGCUCAACCUCGGGCUUGCAGUGGGUACGGGCAGGCUAGAGUGCGGUAGGGGAGAAUGGAACUCCUGGUGUAGCGGUGGAAUGCGCAGAUAUCAGGAGGAACACCAAUAGCGAAGGCAGCUCGCUGGGACGUUACUGACACUGAGGCGCGAAAGCGUGGGGAGCGAACAGG